Non-coding RNA from Triticum aestivum (bread wheat), 135 nucleotides. Lineage: Eukaryota; Viridiplantae; Streptophyta; Magnoliopsida; Poales; Poaceae. The record is from Rfam.
UAUAUACUCCCUCUGUCCUAAAAUUCUUGUCUUAGAAUUGUCUAGAUAUGGAUGCAUCAAGUCACGUUUUAGUAUUAGAUACAUCCGUAUCUAGACAAAUUUAAGACAAGAAUUUUGGGACGGAGGGAGUAUAAU